Molecule: ribosomal RNA, 253 nt
Filed under: uncultured bacterium
Lineage: Bacteria
Description: partial 16S ribosomal RNA
Rfam family: Bacterial small subunit ribosomal RNA
Source: RNAcentral
UACGUAGGUGGCAAGCGUUGUCCGGAUUUACUGGGCGUAAAGAGCGCGCAGGCGGUCGUUCAAGUCGCGUGUGAAAGCCCCCGGCUCAACUGGGGAGGGUCACGCGAUACUGAUCGACUCGAAGGCAGGAGAGGGAAGUGGAAUUCCCGGUGUAGUGGUGAAAUGCGUAGAUAUCGGGAGGAACACCAGUGGCGAAGGCGACUUCCUGGCCUGUUCUUGACGCUGAGGCGCGAAAGCGUGGGUAGCAAACAGG